GACGAACGCUGGCGGCGUGCCUAAUACAUGCAAGUAGAACGCUGAAGAGAGGAGCUUGCUCUUCUUGGAUGAGUUGCGAACGGGUGAGUAACGCGUAGGUAACCUGCCUGGUAGCGGGGGAUAACUAUUGGAAACGAUAGCUAAUACCGCAUAAAAUGGAUUAUCGCAUGAUAAUCCAUUGAAAGGUGCAAAUGCAUCACUACCAGAUGGACCUGCGUUGUAUUAGCUAGUUGGUGGGGUAACGGCUCACCAAGGCGACGAUACAUAGCCGACCUGAGAGGGUGAUCGGCCAAACUGGGACUGAGACACGGCCCAGACUCCUACGGGAGGCAGCAGUAGGGAAUCUUCGGCAAUGGACGGAAGUCUGACCGAGCAAGGCCGCGUGAGUGAAGAAGGUAUUCGGAUCGUAAAGCUCUGUUGUAAGAGAAGAACGAGUGUGAGAGUGGAAAGUGCACACUGUGACGGUAUCUUACCAGAAAGGGACGGCUAACUACGUG
Molecule: ribosomal RNA, 497 nt
Filed under: uncultured bacterium
Lineage: Bacteria
Description: partial 16S ribosomal RNA
Rfam family: Bacterial small subunit ribosomal RNA
Source: RNAcentral